Molecule: ribosomal RNA, 423 nt
Filed under: uncultured cyanobacterium
Lineage: Bacteria; Bacillati; Cyanobacteriota
Description: bacterial SSU rRNA
Rfam family: Bacterial small subunit ribosomal RNA
Source: RNAcentral
GGGGAAUUUUCCGCAAUGGGGGAAACCCUGACGAAGCAAUGCCGCGUGAAGGAUGAAACCCCUCGGGGUGUAAACUUCUUUUCUUAGGGACGAGAUCUGACGGUACCUGAGGAAUAAGCAUCGGCUAACUACGUGCCAGCAGCAGCGGUAAUACGUAGGAUGCAAGCGUUAUCCGGAAUUACUGGGCGUAAAGCGUACGCAGGCGGUUUGGUUAGUCUGCCGUUAAAGCCCGGCGCUCAACGUCGGAAGUGCGGUGGAUACUGCCAGACUAGAGAGGAAGAGAAGAAAGCGGAAUUCCCGGUGUAGCGGUAAAAUGCAUUGAUAUCGGGAAGAACACCAGAAGCGAAGGCGGCUUUCUAGCUUUUUUCUGACGCUAAGGUACGAAAGCCAGGGGAGCGAAAGGGAUUAGAUACCCCUGUAGUC